GAAACAUCUAAGUACCCCGAGGAAAAGAAAUCAACCGAGAUUCCCCCAGUAGCGGCGAGCGAACGGGGAGCAGCCCAGAGCCUGAAUCAGUGUGUGUGUUAGUGGAAGCGUCUGGAAAGGCGCGCGAUACAGGGUGACAGCCCCGUACACAAAAAUGCACAUGCUGUGAGCUCGAUGAGUAGGGCGGGACACGUGGUAUCCUGUCUGAAUAUGGGGGGACCAUCCUCCAAGGCUAAAUACUCCUGACUGACCGAUAGUGAACCAGUACCGUGAGGGAAAGGCGAAAAGAACCCCGGCGAGGGGAGUGAAAAAGAACCUGAAACCGUGUACGUACAAGCAGUGGGAGCACGCUUAGGCGUGUGACUGCGUACCUUUUGUAUAAUGGGUCAGCGACUUAUAUUCUGUAGCAAGGUUAACCGAAUAGGGGAGCCGAAGGGAAACCGAGUCUUAACUGGGCGUUAAGUUGCAGGGUAUAGACCCGAAACCCGGUGAUCUAGCCAUGGGCAGGUUGAAGGUUGGGUAACACUAACUGGAGGACCGAACCGACUAAUGUUGAAAAAUUAGCGGAUGACUUGUGGCUGGGGGUGAAAGGCCAAUCAAACCGGGAGAUAGCUGGUUCUCCCCGAAAGCUAUUUAGGUAGCGCCUCGUGAAUUCAUCUCCGGGGGUAGAGCACUGUUUCGGCAAGGGGGUCAUCCCGACUUACCAACCCGAUGCAAACUGCGAAUACCGGAGAAUGUUAUCACGGGAGACACACGGCGGGUGCUAACGUCCGUCGUGAAGAGGGAAACAACCCAGACCGCCAGCUAAGGUCCCAAAGUCAUGGUUAAGUGGGAAACGAUGUGGGAAGGCCCAGACAGCCAGGAUGUUGGCUUAGAAGCAGCCAUCAUUUAAAGAAAGCGUAAUAGCUCACUGGUCGAGUCGGCCUGCGCGGAAGAUGUAACGGGGCUAAACCAUGCACCGAAGCUGCGGCAGCGACGCUUAUGCGUUGUUGGGUAGGGGAGCGUUCUGUAAGCCUGUGAAGGUGUGCUGUGAGGCAUGCUGGAGGUAUCAGAAGUGCGAAUGCUGACAUAAGUAACGAUAAAGCGGGUGAAAAGCCCGCUCGCCGGAAGACCAAGGGUUCCUGUCCAACGUUAAUCGGGGCAGGGUGAGUCGACCCCUAAGGCGAGGCCGAAAGGCGUAGUCGAUGGGAAACAGGUUAAUAUUCCUGUACUUGGUGUUACUGCGAAGGGGGGACGGAGAAGGCUAUGUUGGCCGGGCGACGGUUGUCCCGGUUUAAGCGUGUAGGCUGGUUUUCCAGGCAAAUCCGGAAAAUCAAGGCUGAGGCGUGAUGACGAGGCACUACGGUGCUGAAGCAACAAAUGCCCUGCUUCCAGGAAAAGCCUCUAAGCAUCAGGUAACAUCAAAUCGUACCCCAAACCGACACAGGUGGUCAGGUAGAGAAUACCAAGGCGCUUGAGAGAACUCGGGUGAAGGAACUAGGCAAAAUGGUGCCGUAACUUCGGGAGAAGGCACGCUGAUAUGUAGGUGAAGUCCCUCGCGGAUGGAGCUGAAAUCAGUCGAAGAUACCAGCUGGCUGCAACUGUUUAUUAAAAACACAGCACUGUGCAAACACGAAAGUGGACGUAUACGGUGUGACGCCUGCCCGGUGCCGGAAGGUUAAUUGAUGGGGUCAGCGCAAGCGAAGCUCUUGAUCGAAGCCCCGGUAAACGGCGGCCGUAACUAUAACGGUCCUAAGGUAGCGAAAUUCCUUGUCGGGUAAGUUCCGACCUGCACGAAUGGCGUAAUGAUGGCCAGGCUGUCUCCACCCGAGACUCAGUGAAAUUGAACUCGCUGUGAAGAUGCAGUGUACCCGCGGCAAGACGGAAAGACCCCGUGAACCUUUACUAUAGCUUGACACUGAACAUUGAGCCUUGAUGUGUAGGAUAGGUGGGAGGCUUAGAAGUGUGGACGCCAGUCUGCAUGGAGCCGACCUUGAAAUACCACCCUUUAAUGUUUGAUGUUCUAACGUUGACCCGUAAUCCGGGUUGCGGACAGUGUCUGGUGGGUAGUUUGACUGGGGCGGUCUCCUCCUAAAGAGUAACGGAGGAGCACGAAGGUUGGCUAAUCCUGGUCGGACAUCAGGAGGUUAGUGCAAUGGCAUAAGCCAGCUUGACUGCGAGCGUGACGGCGCGAGCAGGUGCGAAAGCAGGUCAUAGUGAUCCGGUGGUUCUGAAUGGAAGGGCCAUCGCUCAACGGAUAAAAGGUACUCCGGGGAUAACAGGCUGAUACCGCCCAAGAGUUCAUAUCGACGGCGGUGUUUGGCACCUCGAUGUCGGCUCAUCACAUCCUGGGGCUGAAGUAGGUCCCAAGGGUAUGGCUGUUCGCCAUUUAAAGUGGUACGCGAGCUGGGUUUAGAACGUCGUGAGACAGUUCGGUCCCUAUCUGCCGUGGGCGCUGGAGAACUGAGGGGGGCUGCUCCUAGUACGAGAGGACCGGAGUGGACGCAUCACUGGUGUUCGGGUUGUCAUGCCAAUGGCACUGCCCGGUAGCUAAAUGCGGAAGAGAUAAGUGCUGAAAGCAUCUAAGCACGAAACUUGCC
Molecule: ribosomal RNA, 2579 nt
Filed under: Escherichia coli
Lineage: Bacteria; Pseudomonadati; Pseudomonadota; Gammaproteobacteria; Enterobacterales; Enterobacteriaceae
Description: partial 23S ribosomal RNA
Rfam family: Bacterial large subunit ribosomal RNA
Source: RNAcentral